GUGAGAAUUGAAUCUGAUUUUUUAAUAGGUCCAAAUGGCCCAAGAGAGAUUUGAUGUGGGCUGGAUCCAAAAAUAAUGACCCAAUAUAGAUGUGUUAUUAAUAUUACUUAAUUGCUCUUAAUGAAAUAUGCAAAGUUAGUAAAGGAAAUGACAAGGUAAGGUAAUUAUGACAAUAGAAUCCUGCUUUAAUAGUAUAGAUGUAUACACUUUGACGGUCUAAAUAAAUAUAUACUCCUAAAUACACAAACACAUAUUAAGAAAACAAAGACAGGCGAAAACAAAGUUGACAAUCAAAUGAUAUUUAAAUAGGAACUGCUUAACAGCUAAAGGUUGUACACACCUUGAAGGCUUAAAUGUGUGCACGUUUUAGUUAGUGGCCAGCAUUUAAUACUAUUCAUCGUUAUCAUUAUCCAUCAAACCUAAUAAAAAGUCAAAAGGAUUUUCAGUAUAAAUAGAACCUAGUAUUCACAUGUAAAUUUGUGCAGACAAGAAUAAAACAAGUCAACUUCAAAGUAGCAGAAGUAAGAAAAGAGAAAGAGACAAAAUGGCGAAGAGUUUGUGCAUCGUUACUCUUUUGAUGAUUUUUCUAUUGAUCUCCACAGGGAUACCGAAAGGAGAAGCUCAAUGUAUGGGAGAACGAAGCUUCACAUCACCCCCAGGGAUCUGCAGUCAACAGAUUGGAAGCACUGUUUGCAACAAUGCUUGCAUUACUGAAGAAUAUUUCCGCGGCCAAUGUGAAACUCAAGGCGCAAGAACAAUUUGUAAUUGUUACGAUUGCCCACCUAAUUAAACCUACGGCUUGUGCUGCUUGGAGAAAAAAAUCUGAUCGAUCAGUUGUUGAACUUAUAUUGAUCUUUGUGUUUGAAUUUCUCUAUGUGUGUGUGUGUGUUUUAAUGUUUUGUUGUAUGGUUUGGAAUAAUCGGUUAUAUAGCCGUUCGUUUUGCUUAUUUGUUGUUAAAACUGUGGACUAUUGAGUUGGUUUGAAAAAUUAUAUUACAUUUGUUUUAAAUA
Brassica napus (rape) is the source of this 1011-nucleotide long non-coding RNA. RefSeq lists it as uncharacterized. NCBI's taxonomy places the organism in Eukaryota, Viridiplantae, Streptophyta, Magnoliopsida, Brassicales, Brassicaceae. The record is from RefSeq and is a predicted model, not a curated record. The transcript is spliced from 2 exons.